RNAcentral lists this ribosomal RNA (497 nucleotides) under uncultured bacterium. Its description in RNAcentral is "partial 16S ribosomal RNA". It matches the Rfam family "Bacterial small subunit ribosomal RNA", at positions 28 to 507 of the family's 1533-position model. The record is from RNAcentral.
GAUGAACGCUGGCGGCGUGCCUAAUACAUGCAAGUCGAGCGAACAGAUAAGGAGCUUGCUCCUUUGACGUUAGCGGCGGACGGGUGAGUAACACGUGGGUAACCUACCUAUAAGACUGGAAUAACUCCGGGAAACCGGGGCUAAUGCCGGAUAACAUUUAGAACCGCAUGGUUCUAAAGUGAAAGAUGGUUUUACUAUCACUUAUAGAUGGACCCGCGCCGUAUUAGCUAGUUGGUAAGGUAACGGCUUACCAAGGCAACGAUACGUAGCCGACCUGAGAGAGUGAUCGGCCACACUGGAACUGAGACACGGUCCAGACUCCUACGGGAGGCAGCAGUAGGGAAUCUUCCGCAAUGGGCGAAAGCCUGACGGAGCAACGCCGCGUGAGUGAUGAAGGUCUUCGGAUCGUAAAACUCUGUUAUUAGGGAAGAACAAAUGUGUAAGUAACUGUGCACGUCUUGACGGUACCUAAUCAGAAAGCCACGGCUAACUACGUG